UACGUAGGGGGCAAGCGUUGUCCGGAUUCAUUGGGCGUAAAGAGCGUGUAGGCGGCCAGGUAGGUCGGUUGUGAAAACUGGAGGCUCAACCUUCAGAGGUCGACCGAAACCAUCUGGCUAGAGUCCGGGAGAGGAGAGUGGAAUUCCUGGUGUAGCGGUGAAAUGCGCAGAUAUCAGGAAGAACACCCGUGGCGAAAGCGGCUCUCUGGGCCGAUACUGACGCUGAGGAGCGAAAGCGUGGGGAGCGAACAGG
Molecule: ribosomal RNA, 253 nt
Filed under: uncultured bacterium
Lineage: Bacteria
Description: partial 16S ribosomal RNA
Rfam family: Bacterial small subunit ribosomal RNA
Source: RNAcentral